CCUGGCGGGGCCGCGCCAGGUGAGCGCGGGUGGCUCCGCGCCAGGUGAGCCCUGGCGGGGCCGCGCCAGGUGAGCGCGGGCGGGGCCGCGGCAACCGCUGCGCAGGUACGUCCAGCAGCAGAGGAGGGAUGACGGGACCGAGGUGCGGCGCGGAUUAAAAACGUUCAUGAGGGAAAAAAAUGAAACAAAAUUGCAUAAUCGGUCAUUACAGAGCUGUGCAGCGCUUGUAAAAGUCCAUACAGAACAAAAUAGGUUGGUGCGCACGUUCACGUCGUGUUCAUAACCGCCGUUUUUGACACGGGUUCCUGCUCCUGUGGAUUUGUUGCCUGGUGGCUGAAAGCCACUGUCAGAUACUUAGCAGCAGCAAAGGGUCUGUUCUUGCUAGAACAGAAACUCCAUUUCCAUCUGUGGUAUGUUUUGUAAAAAUGUUUCAUGUGUAUACACGUAGGUAUGCAGUAGUUCCGAGCCCCUGUUGGCUUAGGUGUUUUGGCCCAGCUUUCAUGAAAUGAUGCAUACUCCUCCUUUUUACUUGCCAGCUGGGUUUUUCAGAGCUGAAGAUAAUGAACAUACCUACUCUUCUAAGUUUAUUUUAAAUUCCAGAAAUAUGUCUGGUAGCAUCAAGAGAUACUGGGAUUGGUGACACCAAAGGAGACGAAACUUCAGCUCUUGAUGUGGAACUCUUAAAAGAGGAAGCUGCGCUACUAAUGCAGCCAGUGCUUGACCACAGGAGACCUUACCUCUGACAGAAGACAAAUGAUGUCUUAUUUAAACUUUAUGAAAUGCAAACUCAAAUCAAAUCCUUUCAAGUUCCUUCUUUGCAAGGCAAUAAAUAAUAAAUUAGUGAUUGACUUUUUUUAGAGCUGUUACUUGAAUAACUGGGAAGAAGGAAAGCUGAGGUUCAAACUACGAUAUGUACAAGAUGUGUUCUUUCCCUUCAGAUUAUUUUAGCUUCAUUUACUAUGAAGCCCACAGAUCAGCUUAAAAUAAAAUAAAGCAAAACCUUU
Long non-coding RNA from Apus apus (common swift), 1004 nucleotides. RefSeq lists it as uncharacterized. The record is from RefSeq and is a predicted model, not a curated record. Lineage: Eukaryota; Metazoa; Chordata; Aves; Apodiformes; Apodidae. The transcript is spliced from 2 exons.